RNAcentral lists this ribosomal RNA (557 nucleotides) under uncultured Methylobacterium sp. RNAcentral's name for it is "bacterial SSU rRNA". It matches the Rfam family "Bacterial small subunit ribosomal RNA", at positions 102 to 694 of the family's 1533-position model. The record is from RNAcentral. Lineage: Bacteria; Pseudomonadati; Pseudomonadota; Alphaproteobacteria; Hyphomicrobiales; Methylobacteriaceae.
ACGGGUGAGUAACACGUGGGAACGUACCCUUUGGUUCGGAAUAACGCUGGGAAACUAGCGCUAAUACCGGAUACGCCCUUUUGGGGAAAGGCUUGCUGCCGAAGGAUCGGCCCGCGUCUGAUUAGCUAGUUGGUGGGGUAAUGGCCUACCAAGGCGACGAUCAGUAGCUGGUCUGAGAGGAUGAUCAGCCACACUGGGACUGAGACACGGCCCAGACACCUACGGGAGGCAGCAGUGGGGAAUAUUGGACAAUGGGCGCAAGCCUGAUCCAGCCAUGCCGCGUGAGUGAUGAAGGCCUUAGGGUUGUAAAGCUCUUUUGUCCGGGACGAUAAUGACGGUACCGGAAGAAUAAGCCCCGGCUAACUUCGUGCCAGCAGCCGCGGUAAUACGAAGGGGGCUAGCGUUGCUCGGAAUCACUGGGCGUAAAGGGCGCGUAGGCGGCCAUUCAAGUCGGGGGUGAAAGCCUGUGGCUCAACCACAGAAUUGCCUUCCAUACUGUUUGGCUUGAGUUUGGUAGAGGUUGGUGGAACUGCGAGUGUAGAGGUGAAAUUCGUAGA